Molecule: ribosomal RNA, 505 nt
Filed under: uncultured bacterium
Lineage: Bacteria
Description: partial 16S ribosomal RNA
Rfam family: Bacterial small subunit ribosomal RNA
Source: RNAcentral
GACGAACGCUGGCGGCGUGCCUAAUACAUGCAAGUAGAACGCACAGUUUAUACCGUAGCUUGCUACACCAUAGACUGUGAGUUGCGAACGGGUGAGUAACGCGUAGGUAACCUGCCUGGUAGCGGGGGAUAACUAUUGGAAACGAUAGCUAAUACCGCAUAAUAUUAAUUAUUGCAUGAUAAUUAAUUGAAAGGUGCAAUUGCACCACUACCAGAUGGACCUGCGUUGUAUUAGCUAGUAGGUGAGGUAACGGCUCACCUAGGCGACGAUACAUAGCCGACCGGAGAGGGUGGUCGGCGACACUGGGACUGAGACGCGGCCGAGACUCCUACGGGAGGCAGCAGUAGGGAAUGUUCGGCAAUGGACGAAAGUCUGACCGAGCAACGCCGCGUGAGUGAAGGAGGUUUUCGGAUCGUAAAGCUCUGUUGUAAGAGAAGAACGGGUGUGAGAGUGGAAAGUUCACACUGUGACGGUAGCUUACCAGAAAGGGACGGCUAACUACGUG